ACAGGACAGUGGCGGAUGGGUGAGUAACGCGUAAGAAACCUGCCUUUCACACCGGGAUAGCAGCUGGAAACGGCUAUUAAUACCGGAUGACACUUUUUCCCCGCAUGAGGAAGAGGUUAAAGAAUUUCGGUGAAAGAUGGUCUUGCGUCUGAUUAGCUAGUUGGUGGGGUAACGGCCUACCAAGGCGACGAUCAGUAGCCGGCCUGAGAGGGUGUACGGCCACACUGGGACUGAGACACGGCCCAGACUCC
RNAcentral lists this ribosomal RNA (251 nucleotides) under uncultured bacterium. RNAcentral describes it as "partial 16S ribosomal RNA". It matches the Rfam family "Bacterial small subunit ribosomal RNA", at positions 87 to 339 of the family's 1533-position model. The record is from RNAcentral.